Molecule: ribosomal RNA, 301 nt
Filed under: Ice core clone 144-3
Lineage: Eukaryota
Description: SSU rRNA
Rfam family: Eukaryotic small subunit ribosomal RNA
Source: RNAcentral
AUAUUUAAGUUGUUGCAGUUAAAAAGCUCGUAGUUGGAUUUCGGGCGGGUGCUGCCGGUCCGCCCUUUGGGUGUGCACCGGUUGCGCCCGUCCUGCUGCCGGGGACGGGUACCUGGGCUUCACUGUCCGGGUCCCGGAGUCGGUGAGGUUACUUUGAGUAAAUUAGAGUGUUCAAAGCAGGCUUACGCUCUGAAUACAUUAGCAUGGAAUAACACGAUAGGACUCUGGCCUAUCUUGUUGGUCUGUAGGACUGGAGUAAUGAUUAAGAGGGACAGUCGGGGGCAUUCUUAUUUCAUUGUCA